This 676-nucleotide ribosomal RNA is filed under the name uncultured bacterium. RNAcentral describes it as "bacterial SSU rRNA". It matches the Rfam family "Bacterial small subunit ribosomal RNA", at positions 86 to 760 of the family's 1533-position model. The record is from RNAcentral.
UCUGGGAAAGUGGCGCACGGGUGCGUAACGCGUAUGCAACCUACCUUAAUCAGGGGGAUAGCCCGAAGAAAUUCGGAUUAACACCGCAUAAAAACACAGGAUAGCAUUAUCCAAUGUUCAAAUAUUUAUAGGAUUAAGAUGGGCAUGCGUGUCAUUAGCUAGUUGGCGGGGUAACGGCCCACCAAGGCGACGAUGACUAGGGGAUCUGAGAGGAUGACCCCCCACACUGGUACUGAGACACGGACCAGACUCCUACGGGAGGCAGCAGUAAGGAAUAUUAGUCAAUGGAGGCAACUCUGAACCAGCCAUGCCGCGUGCAGGAAGACGGCCCUCUGGGUUGUAAACUGCUUUUAUUCGGGAAUAAACCUCAUUACGUGUAAUGAGCUGAAUGUACCGAAGGAAUAAGGAUCGGCUAACUCCGUGCCAGCAGCCGCGGUAAUACGGAGGAUCCAAGCGUUAUCCGGAUUUAUUGGGUUUAAAGGGUGCGUAGGCGGCUUAUUAAGUCAGGGGUGAAAGACGGUGGCUCAACCAUCGCAGUGCCCUUGAUACUGAUGAGCUUGAAUGAACUAGAGGUAGGCGGAAUGUGACAAGUAGCGGUGAAAUGCAUAGAUAUGUCACAGAACACCGAUUGCGAAGGCAGCUUACUAUGGUUUUAUUGACGCUGAGGCACGAAAGC